UUUAAUUCGAUGAUACGCGAGGAACCUUACCUGGGCUAGAAUGUCACGUGACCGGUGGUGAAAGCUACCUUCCCCGCAAGGGGCGCGUGAUAAGGUGCUGCAUGGCUGUCGUCAGCUCGUGCCGUGAGGUGUUGGGUUAAGUCCCGCAACGAGCGCAACCCCCAUCACUAGUUGCCAUCAGGUAAUGCUGGGAACUCUAGUGAAACUGCCGUCGCAAGACGUGAGGAAGGAGGGGAUGAUGUCAAGUCAUCAUGGCCUUUAUGCCCAGGGCUACACACGUGCUACAAUGGAGAGGACAAAGGGCUGCCACUUAGUGAUAAGGAGCUAAUCCCAAAAACCUCUUCUCAGUUCAGAUUGGAGUCUGCAACUCGACUCCAUGAAGCUGGAAUCGCUAGUAAUCGUAUAUCAGCAAUGAUA
This 417-nucleotide ribosomal RNA is filed under the name uncultured bacterium. RNAcentral's name for it is "bacterial SSU rRNA". It matches the Rfam family "Bacterial small subunit ribosomal RNA", at positions 945 to 1359 of the family's 1533-position model. The record is from RNAcentral.